CCUGCGGAAGGAUCAUUAUCGUACCACCGAGGUGCAAGGGCUGUCGCUGACCUUUGAAGGUCGUGCACGCCCGAGCGCUCUCGCCACAAUCCAUCUCACCCCUUUGUGCAUCACCGCGUGGGUCCCCCUUUGCGGGGAGGGCUCGCGUUUUCACACAAAACUUGAUACAGUCUAGAAUGUUUAUUUUUGCGGUAACACGCAAUCAAUACAACUUUCAACAACGGAUCUCUUGGCUCUCGCAUCGAUGAAGAACGCAGCGAAAUGCGAUACGUAAUGUGAAUUGCAGAAUUCAGUGAAUCAUCGAAUCUUUGAACGCACCUUGCGCCCCUUGGCAUUCCGAGGGGCACACCCGUUUGAGUGUCGUGAAAUUCUCAAAAUCCUUUUCUUUGAUCGGAAUAGGACUUUUGGACUUGGAGGUUCAAUGCUCGCUUUCGCCUUUGAAAGCGAGCUCCUCUCAAAUGAAUCAGUGGGGUCCGCUUUGCUGGUCCUUGACGUGAUAAGAUGCUUCUACGUUUUGGAUUUGGCAUUGUUUUCUCCGCUCCUAACUGUCCCCAUGGGACAACGAUGGUGCUUCGGUCGUCGCCAUCUAUGGCGGAAGGCUGAACCCACAAAGAACCUUGACCUCAAAUCGGGUGAGACUACCCGCUGAACUUAAGCAUAU
Molecule: ribosomal RNA, 661 nt
Filed under: Russula cf. odorata SE-2015
Lineage: Eukaryota; Fungi; Basidiomycota; Agaricomycetes; Russulales; Russulaceae
Description: eukaryotic LSU rRNA
Rfam family: 5.8S ribosomal RNA (bases 210-363)
Source: RNAcentral